AACCAGCUCCUUAGAAAAAGGUAGUGCUGUCAGAUCUCGCUGAUGUAAUGUCUAAGUCCUGUUUAAACAUUUCAGAAGUGUCAAGUGUCCUAGGUUUCCGAGAAUAUUUUAUCACCUUAAUGCAGUCCAUGCAGUUUUACAUUUGCCCAAAUGCCCGAUCAGAAAUAAUAAUGGAAUAUUUGACUGAAGAUGUGGUAGCAGACCUUAUUCAAAGGGCAAGAGUCAGUCCCGCUCAUCAGCUCUGUUGCCGGUCUCUCUUGGCCUCCUUCAAC
This is a long non-coding RNA of Protopterus annectens (West African lungfish), 272 nucleotides long. RefSeq lists it as uncharacterized. The record is from RefSeq and is a predicted model, not a curated record. The transcript has 3 exons. Lineage: Eukaryota; Metazoa; Chordata; Ceratodontiformes; Protopteridae.